This 446-nucleotide ribosomal RNA is filed under the name uncultured bacterium. RNAcentral describes it as "partial 16S ribosomal RNA". It matches the Rfam family "Bacterial small subunit ribosomal RNA", at positions 338 to 795 of the family's 1533-position model. The record is from RNAcentral.
CCUACGGGUGGCAGCAGUAGGGAAUUUUCGGCAAUGGGGGGAACCCUGACCGAGCAACGCCGCGUGAACGAAGAAGUUAUUCGUAAUGUAAAGUUCUUUUUACAGGGAAGCAAGAGAACUUUGACGGUACCUGAAGAAUAUGCCCCGGCUAACUACGUGCCAGCAGCCGCGGUCAUACGGAGGGAGAGUGCGUUAUCCGGAAUUAUUGGGCGUAAAGGGUGCGUAGAUGGCAUAGUAAGUCUUUGGUAAAAAUGCUGGGCUCAACCCAGUAGGGCAAAAGAUACUGCAAAGCUAGAGUAUGACAGAGGCAAGUGGAACGAGAGGUGUAGCGGUGAAAUGCGUAGAUAUAUGUAAGAACACCAGUGGCGAAGGCAGCUUGCUGGGUCGAUACUGACAUUGAGGCACGAAAGCGUGGGGAGCGAACAGGAUUAGAUACCCUGGUAGUC